RNAcentral lists this ribosomal RNA (449 nucleotides) under uncultured bacterium. RNAcentral describes it as "partial 16S ribosomal RNA". It matches the Rfam family "Bacterial small subunit ribosomal RNA", at positions 29 to 523 of the family's 1533-position model. The record is from RNAcentral.
AACGAACGCUGGCGGCAGGCCUAACACAUGCAAGUCGAACGGGAUCUUCGGAUCUAGUGGCGGACGGGUGAGUAACGCGUGGGAACGUGCCCUUUGGUUCGGAAUAGCCCGGGGAAACUGGGAGUAAUACCGGAUAAGCCCUACGGGGGAAAGAUUUAUCGCCAUGGGAUCGGCCCGCGUUGGGUUAGGUAGUUGGUGAGGUAAUGGCUCACCAAGCCGACGAUCCAUAGCUGGUUUGAGAGGAUGAUCAGCCACACUGGGAUUGAGACACGGCCCAGACUCCUACGGGAGGCAGCAGUGGGGAAUCUUAGACAAUGGGGGAAACCCUGAUCUAGCCAUGCCGCGUGAUCGAUGAAGGCCUUAGGGUUGUAAAGAUCUUUCAGUGGGGAAGAUAAUGACUGUACCCACAGAAGAAGCCCCGGCUAACUCCGUGCCAGCCGCCGCGGUAA